GUGUUUCAAAGAAGGGUUAUCUUGACGUAGGUCUGCUUUUUGCCGAGAUUAACCUAAGUUAAAUGGAGUCUCUAUCGGCCUUGCUUAAAGAACCAAAUAUGAAACUUCAUACACCUUAAAGUUCAUAGGGAGAAAAGAGAAUUUUUGGACGUCCUUAUACUCAUUAUAAGCAUAGCAUUGAAUAUACUAGGUAUUCACCUUAUCAAUAUCUCAAAUCAAGGAUAGGUUCUAUUUAGUGCUUAACUGAAAUGGGCACGCGAAUCGAACCGAGAACCUUUUGUCAGGCUAUUGUUCUCUUGUUUUGUUCCCUAAAACUUAUGGAGUAAGACAUGGGUUUCUCAAUAAGAUAAAUUCUUUUGAUUACAUGAUGUGAUGGACUCCUCUGAAAAACAUUGGCGCACAUGUAAACGAGGUGCUCUACCUAAGUGAGCUAUAGCCCUUGUGUUUAUGAUACAUAUUCUAUCAUAUUGUGUAGAUAAUUUCUUGUCAAGAUGAAUAUUACAUGAUUCAACCACAUAUCUCCCAGUUUGAUUGGUAUUGCUUAGAAGUAAUAUUGGAUUUAUAAUUCAUCGAUGGGAUGAGUUCUUUUUGUUUCUCUUUGUGAUGAUAAAUGACCUACUUAACUCAGUGGUUAGAGUAUUUCUUUAUACAGUGUCAUUUUAUAGAAUCCCUGCGCUGACCACGUCCUAUAGGGAUCAUCGAAUCAAUAGCAAUAAGUCCAGUUUGAAGAGGCUCAUAUACGGAACGUCUCGAAAUAAUACCCGGAGCAGGAGAUUCAAUUAAUCGAGAUUCAAAAGUGUAAAUUUCACCUCGACCAUCAAUAGGUUUGGCCAGGGCAUUUAUAACAUGACCCAAAUAAGCCUCACUCACCGGUAUCUGAGCAAUUCUUCCCGUUGCCUUUACAGAACUUCCCUCUUGUAUCAUCAAACCGUCACCAAUUAAUACAACACCAACAUUAUUUGAUUCCAAAUUCAGAGCAAUCCCUAUUGUAUCCUCUUCAAAUUCUACUAAUUCACCUGCCAUUACUUCAUCAAGACCAUAAAUACGAGCAAUGCCGUCGCCUACUUGCAGUACGGUAUCGGUAUUUACAAUCUUUACUUCUCUAUUAUAUUGCUCAAUACGUUCACGGAUAAUAUUACUAAUUUCGUCGUCUCUAAUGGUUACCAUGAGUAUUUCUUAAUUCUUUUUUGUACGAAAAAAAAUAAUGCCUACAAUAGAGGUACCGGUAUAGUGCGACUUGUCAAAUAUAUCGGGUCAUAUGGGAUUUCCCCGUUCUCUCCCCGAUCGAGAUAUCCUCUGUUUCGCCCAAAAAAGAUUUUGAAUUAUCAAAAAAUUGGAGCGUGAAGUGAAAUCAAGUGAAAUUAUAUCCUUUUUUGUUUUGGAGGGUAUUCAAAUUUCUAUUAUCAAUUAGAAAAGUCUAUAGAAUAAUUUAUGGUUGGAUUGGUUGGACCAAUAAAAUGAAGUAUUCAAACUCCGUUUCGAAAUAACCCAAUUGGUAAUAUAUUUAUGAUUACUACUACUUAUAUUAUAGAUCAUAAAAUCUUAUAUAUAAGAGUAGUCUUAAACUUUUAAUCAAGCGAGUAAUAUGAUAAAUACGUCGAAUAUUUGGCAUUGGCAGAAGACAUGAAUUGAAUUGAAAAAAAAAGAGUAAGUCGUAGAAAAAAGACGUAGUAUUAGUGUCAUUUGUCCUAUAUGUGCAAAUAAAAAUCGGGCAGAUUUUUUUACUUGAAGUAAAGCAUAAACCUAAAAGAAUUGAAAAAAGGCCCAUUCAGGAACAAGAAAAUGACAUCGUGAUUUGGAUUAGAUCUUGAUGAAACAAUACAUCAAUGAGAAGUUUAUUUCAUAAGUUUAAUGGAUUUUUUGUGGAGGGAAAGGGGACAAAACCAAAACUCAUCUUUCUUGAAAAAUGGAAGAAAAAAAAAGCCGCUUCAUUAAGAAAUUCAAAAAUUAGAUUAGAAAAGGGCCCUACUAUGAACAAAAAAAGAAGGAAAGAGGUCUGGAAUUUACACAUUGAUUCUUUUUUUUCGCAAUUUUUGUUGAACUGUAUGCAUCAAAAGAUGCAUGUACGGCUCUUAAGGGAUAUAAAUUUUAUCCUAAUCAACCGACUUUAUCGAGAAAGAUUACCUUUUUUAGGCCAAGAGGUUGAUAGCGAGAUUUCGAAUCAACUUAUUGGUCUUAUGGUAUAUCUUAGUAUAGAGAAUGAUAACAAGGAUCUGUAUUUAUAUAUAAACUCUCCUGGCGGAUGGGUAAUCCCCAGAGUAGCUAUUUAUGAUACUAUGCAAUUUGUUCAACCUGAUGUGCAUACAAUAUGCAUGGGAUUAGCCGCUUCAAUGGGAUCUUUUAUCUUGGUCGGCGGAGAGAUUACCAAACGUCUAGCAUUCCCUCACGCUUGGCGCUAAUGAGUUUUUUAAGAACAAAAAUAAAAUAAAAAAGACUAUGCCUUCGCCAUAUGAAAUAGGAAUAUUAAGUAAUAAUAGCAUGGCACUUCGAAUUUGAUAUGAGAAUUUUUUUUUCAAAACAUUAGAUUAUAUAUCGAAAGAGUAGUAUGAAAUUUGAGAUAGAGUGUAAGUCCUUGUCCCUUAAGCAAGUUAAAAAGCAAGUUCUGGGGCAAGCAGGUCAAACCUUUUAGUCUUAGUCGAGUCAUUUCAUUUCUUUGGCUUUGGUAAGCCCCUAUUUCUUUUGGGUAAGGUCCAGUAACAAAGAAAGUCUCUUUUUUUUUAUUUUUUAUUGUAUUGGCCUUGUAAUCUGGCUUUCAAAGUAACUUGCUGUAAAAUAAAAAGAAAGGUUUGAAAACUCACUCGUUUACCCUAUUUUGCUUUUUCUCAUUCGAAUUUUUUUUUGUACAAAAAAGAAUUAAGAAAUACUCAUGGUAACCAUUAGAGCCGACGAAAUUAGUAAUAUUAUCCGUGAACGUAUUGAGCAAUAUAAUAGAGAAGUAAAGAUUGUAAAUACCGGUACCGUACAAAAAAGAAUUAAGAAAUACUCAUGGUAACCAUUAGAUUGUAAAUCCCUACUAAUACAAGUUCUUCCCUUCUGAAUUAGAUAGAUUCAUAUCUGAAAGAGGUUGACAAUAAGUUCUUUCAAAAUUGACUAUUUGUCCCUCUGUUAGAGGUGUUCCAGAAAUGUCUACGAUCGAGUAAAUAGCUCUACGAACUAAUGGAUCGGAUCGAAUUGCAAAAUGGAAAGAUUUGUACAAGUUAGACCUUUCGUCACCACUUUGUGGAAAAUCAUUAGGUAUGAAUAUGUUGGAUACCUGUGACUCGAUUGGUGAAAUAGUAUCUCUCCAAAAAAGUGUAUUUUUUUUUUUACUGCCACACAAAGAAAAUAUUUUGUUGCGAAUGAACAAGAUAUUGAGGAAUUGUCCAUAUGUAAAAUCAGAAUUAUUGAUACGGGCCCUUUCCACGUAAAAGGGGAAUCUUUUGUUACAAUAGAAGCUGAUGUGGAUUAUUCAAGAUAUGAAAUUCAUUAUGUAAGGUAUGAUUAUAAAAAGAGGAAGAAGUCGAGCUACAAGAAAAAUGCCCGUUGCUACCAUAGUAGCGGCAUGUAUAAGAGCCGAAAUAGGAGUAGUAAUAAUUAAUAUUAACAUAAUCAAAGUAAGUGGAUCUAUUAAGUGACCGAACUCUAAAGAAAAAUCAUUAUGAAUGGUCCAAGACCAUACAUAUUGAUAGAUAAAACUUCUAUUUAUUUGCUGAAUAGAUAGAUAGACCGAAAGUAUCAUAACUAUACUUAACAAGAAAAUACUAGGAAAAGCCCACAUACGGCGAAGAUUUUUUGUUGCCAUUGGAAAAAGUAGAAGUCCCACUCCUAUUAACAUAGGAACUGGAAGUGGAAUGAAGGGGAUAAUCCAUGAAUAUUGAUAUGUAUAUUCCAUAAAAAAAAAACCUUUUUAUUUUUAAUUAAUUCUUUAUAAUUCACUGUCUCUUAUAUCUUUUUAUAGGUUCAAUAAAAAAUCAAGAUAUGGAAUACUUAAAUAGAAUUUUCUAUUCCUAAUUAUUAUAAAUCUUUCUUCUUUAACCAAUAUUUCAAAUAUUCAAAUCAAGAAGUUAGAUUAUAUAUCGAAAGAGUAGUAUGAAAUUAGUAUAAAAUAAAGGGUAUUCUCAAUUUUACCUUAUUUAUCGGUGACCAUUACCAUUUCAGCGUCACAAACUUUUUUGUUUUCACAACAGAAAACUUUUAACAAUAUUUACGUUAUUGUUAGGAAAGAGUACGAAAAAAAAAACUUUGGGAUUGCUGAAUCAAAGACGAGAUAAAUAUAUAAAAAGCAACGAAGCCAUCAUAGUAUUUUUAAACUGCUCUAAAAGGAAGGAUGGUAAUUGGAUAUACUGGGUAUUCACCUUAUCAAUAUCUCAAAUCAAGGAUAGGUUCUAUUUAGUGCUUAACUGAAAUGGGCACCCGAAUCGAACCAAGAACCUUUUGUUAGGCUAUUGUUCUCUUGUUUUGUUCUCUAAAACUUAUGGAGUAAGACAUGGGUUUCUCAAUAAGAUAAAUUCUUUUGAUUACAUGAUUAUUAUCAAAAUGAUUCGAACUGGUUCAAAGACCCAACAUGCCUUCUUUUUUUUUUCUUUUUGCAUUGGGCUCUUUCAUUAAUUGAUCGAAAUAUCAGUUAGUCUGCCAUCUUUUUUCUUGCCAAUAAGGAGAUGUCUCCAUGUGCUCUGAUUCAUUAUUUUGGUUUUGACUUAGGAGCACUACCAAAGUGUUUCAAAGAAGGGUUAUUUUGAUGUAGGUCUGCUUUUUGCCGAGAUUAACCUAAGUUAAAUGGAGUCUCUAUCGGCCCUGCUUAAAGAACCAAAUAUGAAACUUCAUACACCUUAAAGCUCAUAAGGAGAAAAGAGAAUUUUUGGACGUCCUUAUACUCAUUAUAAGCCUAGCAUUGAAUAUACUGGGUAUUCACCUUAUCAAUAUCUAAAAUCAAGGAUAGGUUCUAUUUAGUGCUUAAUUGAAAUGGGCACCCAAAUCGAACUGAGAACCUUUUGUCAGGCUAUUGUUCUCUUGUUUUGUUCCCUAAAACUUAUGGAGUAAGACAUGGGUUUCUCAAUAAGAUAAAUUCCUUUGAUCUGGGGAGGGGGAUCAAGAUCAAGAAGUUAUCGAAAUUUUUUCUUUAAGAAUUUAUUUGAUUCAGGGAACAAAUUCAAUUUCUUCAUCAUAUGAUUCGAUAAAAUAUUUUGAAUCUAUGUCGAAUUGGUAGAUAAUCUCAAUCAAAUGAAUUUCGUUUUAAUGGGAGUCAAUUUAUUAAUUAAUUA
RNAcentral lists this long non-coding RNA (5240 nucleotides) under Eucalyptus grandis. RNAcentral describes it as "long non-coding RNA (EGRA_LNC004206)". The record is from RNAcentral. Lineage: Eukaryota; Viridiplantae; Streptophyta; Magnoliopsida; Myrtales; Myrtaceae.